UAUGGCCACAUCACAUUGAAGCACCAGUUCCCAUACAAUCACUGAAGUUAAGCAACAUUGAGCCUAAUUAGUACAUAGAUGGGUGACCA
Acanthosepion pharaonis is the source of this 89-nucleotide non-coding RNA. Lineage: Eukaryota; Metazoa; Mollusca; Cephalopoda; Sepiida; Sepiidae. The record is from the annotation of a GenBank genome assembly.